Panicum virgatum (switchgrass) is the source of this 759-nucleotide long non-coding RNA. RefSeq lists it as uncharacterized. Lineage: Eukaryota; Viridiplantae; Streptophyta; Magnoliopsida; Poales; Poaceae. The transcript has 2 exons. The record is from RefSeq and is a predicted model, not a curated record.
CAUCUCGUGACUCCGUCGUUGUUUCAAAGGACGAUGCUGGCAGCCCUUCGUGUAUAAAUUGCGAGUAUGUGCUUGCCGAGAGUACGUGCAAUUUACCUUCAACAUAUUUUCAGGGUAGCCCAAACAAACCGUUAUGAGCUCAUCAUCUAGGGUAGCUUAGUGUCGGGAAAUGGAGGCCAAUUUAGGAGGCCGUCCUAACGAUCCAAAUAGAUGUAUUAGAGAUUGCAAGGUAUGGCCGAAAGGUGAAGAGCCACCCUAUUGCUAUUGCCAGAUGAGUUGUGUUCCCAACGUAUCUUGUGAUUACGAGACUUUUGGCCAGAUGUAUUGGUCUUGUAAGAAUAUCGAGGAAGUGCAAAAAGCAGGUGCAAUAUCAUAGUACGAUGGUGAUGAGAUGCACACACAUUGGUGUCAUUUCCAGGAGUGGAUUGACACGUGGAUCACUCGUCGUGAUCAGCAAUAUAUGGCGUGGUUGAAGAAGGUGGAUGAUGAUGUACGCAAGUGCGAGCACGAGAAAGCAUAACGGGCGGGAUGUGAUAAGGGUACUGGCCGUGAAUGAUGGAUGUUGUACUGGUCCAUUUCAUUCAGAUCAAUCCUGCUAUCAGAAUAAGUUAUGUUCAUUCCCGACCAAUAUGUUGCGUGUUUGUUUCAGAAGCCUCUUUUCGCUUCCUAUGUAUUAUUUUUUCUUCCGUGCUUAUCAUGUGUACUCGUGGUGUUAUGGAGGUUGUUCUCUUUUCUAAUAAAAUCGUGAAUCAUCCGGCA